AUUGAACGCUGGCGGAAUGCUUCACACAUGCAAGUCGAACGGCAGCACGGACUUCGGUCUGGUGGCGAGUGGCGAACGGGUGAGUAAUGUAUCGGAACGUGCCCAGUCGUGGGGGAUAACGUAGUGAAAAUUACGCUAAUACCGCAUACGAUCUAUGAAUGAAAGCGGGGGAUCGCAAGACCUCGCGCGAUUGGAGCGGCCGAUAUCAGAUUAGGUAGUUGGUGGGGUAAAGGCCCACCAAGCCAACGAUCUGUAGCUGGUCUGAGAGGACGACCAGCCACACUGGAACUGAGACACGGUCCAGACUCCGACGGGAGGCAGCAGUGGGGAAUUUUGGACAAUGGGCGAAAGCCUGAUCCAGCCAUUCCGCGUGCAGGAUGAAGGCCCUCGGGUUGUAAACUGCUUUUGUACAGAACGAAAAGGUUUCUACUAAUACUAGGAGCUCAUGACGGUACUGUAAGAAUAAGCACCGGCUAACUACGUGCCAGCAGCCGCAGUAA
RNAcentral lists this ribosomal RNA (500 nucleotides) under uncultured bacterium. Its description in RNAcentral is "partial 16S ribosomal RNA". It matches the Rfam family "Bacterial small subunit ribosomal RNA", at positions 30 to 523 of the family's 1533-position model. The record is from RNAcentral.